AGAGUUUGAUCAUGGCUCAGGAUGAACGCUGGCGGCGUGCUUAACACAUGCAAGUCGAACGAAGCACUUAUCUUUGAUUCUUCGGAUGAAGAGGUUUGUGACUGAGUGGCGGACGGGUGAGUAACGCGUGGGUAACCUGCCUCAUACAGGGGGAUAACAGUUAGAAAUGACUGCUAAUACCGCAUAAGACCACGGAGCCGCAUGGCUCAGUGGGAAAAACUCCGGUGGUAUGAGAUGGACCCGCGUCUGAUUAGGUAGUUGGUGGGGUAACGGCCUACCAAGCCAACGAUCAGUAGCCGACCUGAGAGGGUGACCGGCCACAUUGGGACUGAGACACGGCCCAAACUCCUACGGGAGGCAGCAGUGGGGAAUAUUGCACAAUGGGGGAAACCCUGAUGCAGCGACGCCGCGUGAGCGAAGAAGUAUUUCGGUAUGUAAAGCUCUAUCAGCAGGGAAGAAAAUGACGGUACCUGACUAAGAAGCACCGGCUAAAUACGUGCCAGCAGCCGCGGUAAUACGUAUGGUGCAAGCGUUAUCCGGAUUUACUGGGUGUAAAGGGAGCGUAGACGGCUGUGUAAGUCUGAAGUGAAAGCCCGGGGCUCAACCCCGGGACUGCUUUGGAAACUAUGCAGCUAGAGUGUCGGAGAGGUAAGUGGAAUUCCCAGUGUAGCGGUGAAAUGCGUAGAUAUUGGGAGGAACACCAGUGGCGAAGGCGGCUUACUGGACGAUGACUGACGUUGAGGCUCGAAAGCGUGGGGAGCAAACAGGAUUAGAUACCCUGGUAGUCCGCACGGUAAACGAUGGAUGCCCGCUGUUGGUCUGAAUAGGUCAGCGGCCAAGCGAAAGCAUUAAGCAUCCCACCUGGGGAGUACGCCGGCAACGGUGAAACUCAAAGGAAUUGACGGGGGCCCGCACAAGCGGAGGAACAUGUGGUUUAAUUCGAUGAUACGCGAGGAACCUUACCCGGGCUUGAAUUGCAGAGGAAGGAUUUGGAGACAAUGACGCCCUUCGGGGCCUCUGUGAAGGUGCUGCAUGGUUGUCGUCAGCUCGUGCCGUGAGGUGUCGGCUUAAGUGCCAUAAUGAGCGCAACCCCUCUCCUUAGUUGCCAUCAGGUCAUGCUGGGCACUCUGGGGACACUGCCACCGUAAGGUGUGAGGAAGGUGGGGAUGACGUCAAAUCAGCACGGCCCUUACGUCCGGGGCUACACACGUGUUACAAUGGCAGGUACAGAGAGACGGUCCCUUGCAAAAGGGAUCAAAUCCUCAAAGCCUGUCUCAGUUCGGACUGGGGUCUGCAACCCGACCCCACGAAGCUGGAUUCGCUAGUAAUCGCGCAUCAGCCAUGGCGCGGUGAAUACGCUCCCGGGCCUUGUACACACCGCCCGUCAAGCCAUGAAAGCCGGGGGCGCCUAAAGUCCGUGACCGUAAGGAGCGGCCUAGGGCGAAACUGGUAAUUGGGGCUAAGUCGUAACAAGGUA
This 1477-nucleotide ribosomal RNA is filed under the name metagenome. RNAcentral's name for it is "bacterial SSU rRNA". It matches the Rfam family "Bacterial small subunit ribosomal RNA". The record is from RNAcentral.